This 363-nucleotide long non-coding RNA is filed under the name Homo sapiens (human). Its description in RNAcentral is "HSALNT0364597". Lineage: Eukaryota; Metazoa; Chordata; Mammalia; Primates; Hominidae. The record is from RNAcentral.
GUCCGUGAUGGUCUACGGGGCUUCUGAGGUGAUCGGGCAGCGUCAGUCUUCAGCCGCUAAGCCGAGAAGAUCUGGGAAGGAGUCAGUCAGAGAGCCCUGGGCCAGAGUUCCAGGGGCUCUGGGAGUGGCUGCCAGGUGAGUUGAACAGUGCGAUUUUCAGUGGGGUCCCACACAGAUGGGACGCGGCUUAGGAGGAAUCCCGGGCUGCGGGCAUUCCUUGGCCUAGUGGCCAGAUUUCUGGCACUUGUAGCAAGCUCCUGGGGGAGGCGGGCCUGGAGGAACGUCUGGCCACUGCGGUUUAGGUGUUUGGAAGUUCUUGUGUGCUCGAGAUGUGGCUGGGGUUUGUCUCACAGUGGAGGCAAG